RNAcentral lists this ribosomal RNA (1233 nucleotides) under Triticum aestivum (bread wheat). Its description in RNAcentral is "partial small subunit ribosomal RNA". Lineage: Eukaryota; Viridiplantae; Streptophyta; Magnoliopsida; Poales; Poaceae. The record is from RNAcentral.
AUGGAGCUCCGCCUCCGCGCCCCGGUGUCCCGCGCUUCCGCUUCUCCGCGCGGCACGGCGGUCUCCCCCAGCCCCAGGCCGCAUCCGCGCCUGCCCUCACAACCCAUUCAGAAGCGAUUCGCCGGCAGCGCCGUCUCCGUCUCCAGGCGAGGCACUGCGGCAAGGAGCAGCCCGUGUUCCGCCCUGAUGACGGCGUCAUACAACACAGGAACUCCGGACCUGGUCGACUUCGACUGGGAGACUCUUGGAUUUCAAUUGGUCCCGACAGACUUUAUGUAUAUAAUGAAAUGUUCGUCAGAUGGGGUGUUCACCAAGGGUGAAUUGGUUCCGUAUGGGCCAAUUGAGAUGAACCCCGCUGCUGCAGUUUUAAAUUAUGGCCAGGGAUUGCUCGAAGGUCUUAGAGCACACAGAAAGGAGGAUGGUUCAGUAAUUGUUUUUCGCCCUGAGGAAAACGCGUUGCGGAUGAGGAUAGGUGCAGAUCGGCUAUGCAUGCCUGCACCAAGCGUUGAGCAGUUCCUAUCAGGUGUCAAGCAAACUAUAUUGGCAAACAAGCGUUGGGUACCCCCCACUGGCAAAGGUUCUUUAUAUAUCAGGCCGCUGCUGAUUGGAAGUGGAGCUAUGCUAGGUGUAGCACCUGCUCCGGAGUAUACAUUUGUCGUGUAUGUUUGCCCAGUUGGUCACUAUUUCAAGGAUGGCCUGUCUCCUAUUAGCUUAUUGACUGAGGAAGAAUAUCACCGCGCUGCACCUGGUGGAACUGGUGAUAUUAAGACAAUUGGAAAUUAUGCUUCGGUUGUUAGUGCUCAGAGAAGAGCCAAGGCGAAAGGUCAUUCUGAUGUUCUUUACUUGGAUCCCGUGCAUAAGAAGUUUGUGGAGGAAGUUUCUUCCUGUAAUAUAUUCAUGGUGAAGGAUAAUGUUAUUUCUACUCCACUAUUAACGGGAACAAUUCUUCCUGGAAUCACAAGAAGAAGUAUAAUUGAAAUUGCCCGAAAUCUUGGAAUCCAGGUCGAAGAGCGCCUUAUUGCGAUAGAUGAGUUGCUUGACGCGGAUGAAGUCUUCUGUACAGGGACUGCCGUUGUACUAUCACCUGUUGGUUCCAUAGUGUACCACGGAAGAAGAGUGGAGUAUGGGGGCGGGAAGGUCGGAGCGGUGUCUCAGCAACUGUAUUCGGCACUCACAGCUAUCCAGAAAGGCCUUGCAGAGGACAGUAUGGGAUGGGGUGUGCAAUUGAAUUAG